GCCCUGCGACAGAGCAUCUUCCUCCGAGUCUCUGACAGCCAGGACAAUGCCUUAUUUAUAAUAAAUCAACCCAAAAGAAUAGGCCUGUUGCCAAGACCUGGGGCUGCCCAGCAAACAGAAAGCAUCUUGGUUCUGAGCUCAGUGUGGUUGCACAUCGUCUCCAAGUCCAAGGUCACUCUGUCCUUUACCAGGGAGGCCGCCUGCCCCUGUGAAGGCUCUUGUGACCCAAAAGAAAACCGAUGUCAUCCCCGACCCAAAAUGCUGAUGGCAAAAACAGAAUUUUAGAAUCAAAGGAAACCUCAGAGGCCAUCACCUGAGCCAAAGGAUCUAAUGGCAGGAUCAAGUUUAGAUUCCUUUGCUGGUCACCUGUGAUUGGUGGACUGGAUGCUCGGAGUAGAAAGCUGCACCUGCCACUAUGGCCUCUGCAGGAAUGAGACGGAAGGCAAGCAGGGGUCAGCUUUCAGGGCCCUGCAGCUCAUGGUCAGGUUUUGGACUUUAUUCUCCUUGUCACGGUCAUCCUUUGGAAGGUUUUAUGCAGGGAAACGAGCCAGAAGAACCCAGGUCUCUUGAAUUUCUGUAAAUCUGUACCACAAUCUGGCGAUAGGGGUGAGGGGAUAUGUGAGGCUGGGUUCUGACACUGGUUGCAGGUCCCAUGAUAGGUGGGUGGGAGGGUGGGAUGGGGACCGAGAGGGCCACUUGGCUGUGAUCAGGUCGCACUAGAAUCCCUGAAACCAAAGGCCUGUGGCAGAAACGGGCUUCAGAGCAGGGCCCAGCUCAGGGGUGAGGCUCGGGGUCCCUCCACUCUCCCUCCCAACCAGGAAUCCGACGGCAAUUCUGCAUUCCUUCCACACGCAUAAACUCCCGGCUCAGGACGGCAGCGUCUACACCCUGGAGAAGCACAGUCUGUUUCAGUAGCCCAGGCAGUGAAGAGAUCACGGGCUUUGGGGGCUUCUUGACAUGGCAGACAUCGGCCAAAAUGUCCCAAGCUUCUGAGCCCCAGCUUCACCCCCUUGUGAGAGGAGCCUGGUGACCCGACCACUCAGCCUGUCGCCGGGAGGAGACCGUGAGCCACUCUGUCGGACUCGCCUUGGGGCAUCUGUCCAAGAUGCUUUAUUAGGCCAGCACCAUGGAAAUGGCUGGAGGCGGGUAUAGGACCCGAGCUCCCAAAGCCCUCCACUGAUUUUUUUAAUGUUUAUUUAUUUUUGAGAGAGAGGGAGUGUGAACAGAGGAGGGGCAGAAAGAGGGGGGCGGCGGACAGAACACCAGACACAGGCCCUGUGCUGUCAGCACAGAGCCCAACGUGGGCUCAAACUCAUGCACUGUGAGAUCAUGACCUGAGCCGAAGGCAGAUGCUCAACCAAGUGAGUCACCCAGACAUCCGCCCUCCACGGAUUUUAAUGCCUCUUAACAUUUGGGAUCCUCUGGCCUGCUUCCUAGGCUGCCUGGGAGGGCUGAUUGAAGUAUGAACUCGGAUACCUUGGAUGGACUGGAUAUCUAGUGAUUAUUAAUUUCUCUCUCGUCCUUUUUACAGGUGCUGGCUGUGGGCAACGCUUUUCAUUUUUUCCCCCCCCGAGGCCUUUAAUUUAAUCUACCGCCUCUAAGAACACAAGACGACAUCUCCGGGUCAUUGGAGGAUUCCUCCUGCUGCUUCUUCCGCCUGCCUGUUCCCAGCAUCUAGAACGGUCUGUGGGUGUACAGGCCAUGGCCAGGCAGGGGAAGCAUCCAGAACUGUGAGCGAGGCCCACUGCCUGGGCUUCCCACUUCCUCAGACCCCGGCCCUGCUCAAACAAUGAUCGAACCUUCUCUUCUCAGCCCCUCCACACUGUCCAGUUGGUAACCACUGGUGGCACACUGGGGCCACCUGGGAAGCUUUAAAAUUACUGAUGUUGGGGGGCCCUGGGUGGCUCAGUCAGUUAAGCAUCCAACUUCAGCUCAGGUCAUGAUGUCAGGGUUUGUGAGUUCGAGCCCUGCAUCAGGCUCUCUGCUAUCAAUGCAGAGCCCGGAGCCUGCUUCAGAUCCUCUCUCUCCCUCUCCCUCUGCCCCUUGCACUCUCUCUUUCUCUCUCUCAAAAAUAAAUACACAUUAAGAAAGUACUGAUCCCUGGACUCCACUCUUGGCAUUUCUGAUCAAAUAGCCUGGGGUGUGGCCCGUGAACUGGGGGAGUUUUUUGAGCUCCCAGGUGAUUCGAAUGUGUGGCGCAGUCUGGGAACCAAGCCCUGUUCUCCAAGAAACUACGGAGCCCACAGGCACAAACACAGACCCACGGCGGGGAUGGUCAGUCACACCCUGAGCGUUCAGAUAGGUGGUCACUUGCCUGAAGAACGGGAAAGAGACGACUGAUUCAUAGAACCUCCACGUUGCCACAAGAUCAAUCCUGUUUGGGUUGGUAGCAUAAUACCUCCAGGCAGCCUAAGGAGGAGAAGGGAGGGGCUGGAAUGACCGGACAGCACUGAAACACUCACACAGAAUCCCACAGCAUUAAAACAUUUGUGAAGCCCCUGACUCUUAAGAGUUUAAAUAUGCAAUUGAGGUAAUAUCCAGAGAAGCCAGGCUUCCUGGCUUUUUGUAGCUCCUUGGGGAAGAAAACCUUCCCUGACCCACCAUCUUGGAGUCAUAACUGGGGCCAUCGGGGUGUGGAGAAAUGCGAAGGAAGGAGAGGAGAGGGCUGGGCAUAAAAUCCCCAGAAGGAGCAGGGUUCACUCUGGCUGCAAGGCUCCCUGAGACUUCUCAAACAGGGAGGAGGGUGCACACUAUCUUUGUGCCACUUUGGGUGCAAGAGACGGCCUGGGAGAUGAGGUUUCGAUUCGAAUAUACUAGAACUUCAGGAAUACCAUGAUGGUUUGGGGCUUGGGGGGUAACGGAACAGACCCUUAGAGACUGGGACUGGCCUGGACUCUUCACUACGUAGAAUAACAUCGUGUACCAUCUGGUGUCAGACCCGCAGACCUGCAGAGACCAUCCGUACACGAGGGUACACCGUAACACAGGUUCAUGGUAGGCACACGUUCGGUCCCACGUAGCUGUAGUCGGGGGACGCCACCCUCCUCUUCUCUGUGCUCCCAACAACCCACAACACCAUGAAGCAGAAUCUCCCUCUGAGGUUUCAGCAGGAACACGUCUACCCUUCUCUCCACCUCUCACUAUUCUCCCCACAUCCAGCCCACAGGGCAGGAGUGAUGGAUCUGGCCGGCGUCCAACAUCCACUGGUGCAUGAUGGUCUACUGGUCAGGACCAACGGCCCACUCUCCCGUACUGGGCACACGUAAGGCAUCUCUUUCUGUCUUGGCUCACGGGUUCCCCCACUGGCAGAUGUGAGGGGCCACAUUUCCUUGUAGCUGAUGAGCUAAGUCCUUGGACUCUAGGUCUGCGCUUCCCUGUGGGUCCCUAGGUCAGGAGAGGGGUGGGAAGUAGGAGGAGGAGAAGCCUAGUAUGGACCCAGAGUCAAAUUUUCCAAUACGGUUAGUAAAACAGCUGAUGCCUUGGUCCCUCUCAGAGUCCCAUGUCUCUUUCUCGCUUGUCUUCAAACGUGGAUGGGAGAACGUUGGGACUGUCACGUUGGUGCCACACAGACAGGACGCCCAUAGCCGCCCACAAGCAAGCACGGUCCUGGGCUCUGUCCUCAGUCCCAGGCACGCCCACUGUGGUGCAAGCACACACAGCCCCCCGGCCCCCCCACAGACAUGAGCUCAGUCCCGACCCGGCUUAUCCCCAGGAGGACAGACCUGAAUGAGUUCAGCGGCCGGCUUCCUUCUUUUCUCAAAGUGCUUCUGCCGGUGCUGCUCCUGUACCUUGAGUGCCAGCCCCGACCCCAGGAUGCCCUGGAGGGAGAAGUCAGGCCCGGGUCAGCCCCGCUGGCCUCUCUGGGGGCCCCACCCCCACUCCCAGGGCCACAAAGGCCCCCUUCUUCUCUGCCAGGGAGUAGGUUUUGGGUUAAGUGGAAUCUCGGUGUCAGGAAGGCCUGGCUUCAGUUCCUGACUCUGCCGCUUUCUAGUGGUGAGAUCCCUGGGCAAGUCACUUAUCUACUGCACCUUGGCGUCCUGUACCGGGAAGUGGGCUAAUAGUACCUUCCUCCUAAUUUUGUUACGGAAAAAGUGAAAUCAUGUAUAGGAGCUGUUUAGUAAGAAGAAAUAUGACACAGAACAGAUGCCCAGUAAAUGUUGAGUGGAAUUUAAAAAUAUUUUAGCCGCUUGGGGCGCCUGGGGGGCUUGGUCAGUUAAGCAUCUGCUUUUGGCUCAGGUCAUGACCUCAUGGUUUGUGGAUUAGAGCCCCGAAAUGGGCUCUGAGCUAAUAGCAGGGAGCCUGCUUUGGAUUCUCUGUCUCCCUCUCUUUCUGCCCCCCCCCCCCCCGCCCCGUGCUCACUCUCUCUCUCUCUCCAAAAUAAGUAAAUGUUAAAAGAAUAAUAAAAAUAUUUUAGUGCUGGAAUUGUCCCUUAAGACUUCUACCAGAAGUUCCCAGAAUUGUGACCUGUUCUCGUGUCCAGGUCGGCCUCACACGUGGAUUACAUGGAUAGAAGCCACGCCCUUUUUAAGUUAGAGGAGACCAUGUGGCACCCCCACAGCCCCCAACCUAUUCUAGAUGAGGAGACUGAGAUUCGCAAAGGUCAUAUGCCCAAGGUCAGAGAGCUUAGGAAAAACAGACAAGGUAGGGCUACCGCGGAGGACGAGUAUCGCUAAAGAGGAAGGCUGGGAGAUGAACCGGGGUGGGGGGUGGGGGGGGUGAGGAAGGGCGAUUUUUCCCUAAGAAGUUUCUUUCCAGCCUCACGAUUAAGAGACAGAACCCACAACCCAAGAGCCUUGUGACUGUGGAAACUUGACUGACCUAAUUGGGCCUCAGUUUUCUCAUCUGGAAAAUGGUGACAGACACCGCACCAAACUCACGAUGUUGUCAUGAAGAUUCAAUGACAUGACGUAAGUAAAGCAUUUGGCACGAUUCCAGCACAGGGUAAGUCCGACAAGUGCUUUCUAGGACUGUUGCUACUGUUACGCUCAUGGGCGCCGGGCUUUGGUGGGUUAUUCUAUCACGGGUCAAGACUCACUCUGGCGGGAAAUGAAUUGUUUUUACAUAAGCCAGGACGCGAAAUGACAGGACAAGGGAAGGGAGCUCACAUUGACGAAGGACCUGCCACGUGCAAGGCGCUGGGGAAAACGUGGGUGGGAGAUACAAUCUCAGCCCCCAGGGAGCUCACAGUCUGCAGUCGGGGGGCGGGGUGGGGGGAGGCAGCAUGGGGUCAGAGAUGCCUUUGCAGAGUCAGGCCCAGAGGAGGGAGGGACUCACUGAGCUUAGAGAAGGCAGCCUGGGGACUGGACUUGAAACAGCCCAGCGCGUGGACUUGAGGGGGUCUAAGGGGCUAGCGUCCACCUAGGAGGUUCAGCUGGGGCCGGGUGGGCGGCGGAGGGGGUCCCGCGUGUCACUCUAGGGUAAACAUCGAAGGUACUUACCGCUGGAAGGGCAAAAAAGGAGACGCCGAUUAAGGAAAAGGUGGCUGCAAUCAGGCGGCCCUCCCACGUUUUGGGCGUCUUGUCUCCGUAGCCAAUGGUGGCCAGUGUGAUCUGAAGAGAGAAGAAGUCAGACAUGAGCCUUCGCGGGGAGAGGGAAGUCAGCUGAGCUCCACCUGUCGGCCUUUUGUGCUGCCUGGGGAUGUUUCCCCCAUGGGAGACCAGGUACCAAGUGCCAAGUAGACAAGAAAUGAAGAAAGGAUGAGCGUCAGGAACCCAAUGUACCAGGCGGUGAUGAGCUCCUGGGAGAGCAAGCAGUGGACAAGGGCGGUGGUCACUGAGAAGUCUCUGGAUGCAUGCUGGAGGCAGAUACGCUGGAGGUGGAGUCCGGGCUUAUGAACAUUGUGACUGUGGGCGGGUUACGUACCUCCCUGAGCCUCACCUCCCAUCACCAUGAAAGGGGAUCAGUAAUACGGUCAUUCUUUCCUUUUUCUUUCUUUCUGUUUUUAAAUUUGAGUAUAGUUGACACAUUGCAUUAGUUUCAGGUGUGCAACAUAGUAAUUCUGCAAGGUUACACAUUACGUUAUGCUCGCCCCAAGUGUAGCUAUCAUCUGUCCCGCUAUAGCGCUAUUACAAUGUCAUCGGCCAUAUUCCUUAUGCUGUCUUUUAUUCCUGAGACUUAUUCAUUCCAUCACUGGAAGCCUGUAUCUUCCAUUCCCCUUGACCCAUUUUGUCCAACCCUCUACCUCCUUCCCUCUGGCAACCAUCAGUUUGUUCUCUGUAUGUUUUUUAAAUGUUUAUUUAUUUAUUUUUGAGAGAAA
This is a long non-coding RNA of Acinonyx jubatus (cheetah), 6256 nucleotides long. RefSeq lists it as uncharacterized. NCBI's taxonomy places the organism in Eukaryota, Metazoa, Chordata, Mammalia, Carnivora, Felidae. The record is from RefSeq and is a predicted model, not a curated record. The transcript has 3 exons.